GUCGCGAGCACAUGGAAGUGAGGUUUGAGAUUUGUGUCUGAGAGACGUUCGAGCGACUGUCGGGAAAACGGAAUAUAAAGUGAAUUAAAGAAGCAGCCCGAGCAGCCCGAAACGGCAGUGAGGAGGAGACGUCAGGAGGGGCAAACGGAGGAUCCAAUCCUGGGUGGAGGUUUGAACCUACUGGUUAACACAAUGAAACCAAGGGAAGGAAGCGCUCUCUCAGCCCGCUGGCUUUCCUCUGCAGCAGCUGUCGGUCAGCGUCAGUUGGUGUAUCUCGGAAACACAGAUCGCUAAUGAGGCUGGAGCUCUCGAGGACUGCCUGGCCCUGAACUCAGCAUCACACGGUGCUAAGUGACGAGGAUCCCCUGCUGCACCCAGGGAGGGUUAUGCAUCUAAAACGUGAAUAUUAUAUACGUCACGUCGAAUCAGGAGACGGGUGCUCUCAUCUGCAGCUUGAGCUGUCUGGCUUUGAGAUCUCGCUGUGCUCGGGGUGGUCCUGCAAACUCAGGAAAGUCCAGGUACGAUUUGAUUAAUGUGGGUUUUGGCUCGUCUGGACAGAAACAUCAGCAAGGACACUGUGGACGUAAAAUGCUUCUGCUGCUGCUGCUGUGAUGGUGGUGUUGCAGACCCCCCAUGCAGGCCAGAUCUUUCUGCAGCUUCUGCACCGACACAUGAUCUGACUAGGAAGGAUGCAAAGGUGGAAGCAGACCGUGCUGGAUUUAGUUUCACAGCAUCUUACUGGAGCAAACGCACACAACAUACUGCAAGGUUUUCAGUAGUAUCUACUUCCCCCUUUUUUUUUCUUUUUUUUGUUUGAGAGGACACGGAUACACCCUGACUGGGCCCCUGUAGUGCUCUACAUUGUGGUUGGGAAGUACCUAGUUUUACAACUGUCAUGCUGGCCUGCUUAAAGGGACAGUGCUGAUCAAUUCGAAGCACAUAUUCAGGGGUCUUUUAGUCACCCUAACAAGGGGGUCACAUGGAUGUUUGAGUCGUCAUUCCUCAUGUGAGGAAUGUGCAGUCCGAAGAGCCGCUUUCUGCAUCAAGCACUGCAUAAAAAUACUGAUUGAUAUUUGUUAAAAGAAUGUCUUUAAUAAAAAGUUGAAUUGAAUUGGGUGUGAGAGUUUCCUGCUUUUGAAAAACGAAAGAGAGAAGACUCACAACUCUACAGGUUCUUUUUAGUCUGAAUGCAUAGUGGAUUUGUUUU
Molecule: long non-coding RNA, 1207 nt
Organism: Oreochromis aureus
Lineage: Eukaryota; Metazoa; Chordata; Actinopteri; Cichliformes; Cichlidae
Source: Ensembl